This 433-nucleotide ribosomal RNA is filed under the name uncultured bacterium. RNAcentral describes it as "partial 16S ribosomal RNA". It matches the Rfam family "Bacterial small subunit ribosomal RNA", at positions 29 to 507 of the family's 1533-position model. The record is from RNAcentral.
AACGAACGCUGGCGGCAUGCCUAACAUAUGCAAGUCGAACGAGACCUUCGGGUCUAGUGGCGCACGGGUGCGUAACGCGUGGGAACCUGCCCUUAGGUUCGGAAUAACUCCCCGAAAGGGGUGCUAAUACCGGAUAAUGUCUUCGGACCAAAGAUUUAUCGCCUUUGGAUGGGCCCGCGUUGGAUUAGCUAGUUGGUAGGGUAAAAGCCUACCAAGGCGACGAUCCAUAGCUGGUCUGAGAGGAUGAUCAGCCACACUGGGACUGAGGCACGGCCCAGACUCCUACGGGAGGCAGCAGUGGGGAAUAUUGGACAAUGGGCGAAAGCCUGAUCCAGCAAUGCCGCGUGAGUGAUGAAGGCCUUAGGGUUGUAAAGCUCUUUUACCCGGGAUGAUAAUGACAGUACCGGGAGAAUAAGCUCCGGCUAACUCCGUG